Molecule: ribosomal RNA, 722 nt
Filed under: Sphingomonas sp. 93ND19
Lineage: Bacteria; Pseudomonadati; Pseudomonadota; Alphaproteobacteria; Sphingomonadales; Sphingomonadaceae
Description: bacterial SSU rRNA
Rfam family: Bacterial small subunit ribosomal RNA
Source: RNAcentral
GUGGCGCCGGGUGCGUAACGCGUGGGAAUCUGCCCCUUGGUUCGGAAUAACCGUUGGAAACGACGGCUAAUACCGGAUGACGACGUAAGUCCAAAGAUUUAUCGCCGAGGGAUGAGCCCGCGUAGGAUUAGCUAGUUGGUGUGGUAAAGGCGCACCAAGGCGACGAUCCUUAGCUGGUCUGAGAGGAUGAUCAGCCACACUGGGACUGAGACACGGCCCAGACUCCUACGGGAGGCAGCAGUGGGGAAUAUUGGACAAUGGGCGCAAGCCUGAUCCAGCAAUGCCGCGUGAGUGAUGAAGGCCUUAGGGUUGUAAAGCUCUUUUACCCGGGAUGAUAAUGACAGUACCGGGAGAAUAAGCUCCGGCUAACUCCGUGCCAGCAGCCGCGGUAAUACGGAGGGAGCUAGCGUUGUUCGGAAUUACUGGGCGUAAAGCGCACGUAGGCGGCUUUGUAAGUUAGAGGUGAAAGCCUGGAGCUCAACUCCAGAAUUGCCUUUAAGACUGCAUCGCUUGAAUCCAGGAGAGGUGAGUGGAAUUCCGAGUGUAGAGGUGAAAUUCGUAGAUAUUCGGAAGAACACCAGUGGCGAAGGCGGCUCACUGGACUGGUAUUGACGCUGAGGUGCGAAAGCGUGGGGAGCAACAGGAUUAGAUACCCUGGUAGUCCACGCCGUAAACGAUGAUAACUAGCUGUCCGGGGAACUUGGUCUUUGGGGGGGGCAGCU